Sardina pilchardus (European sardine) is the source of this 896-nucleotide long non-coding RNA. RefSeq lists it as uncharacterized. NCBI's taxonomy places the organism in Eukaryota, Metazoa, Chordata, Actinopteri, Clupeiformes, Clupeidae. The record is from RefSeq and is a predicted model, not a curated record. The transcript has 2 exons.
CAUCCCCAGAAGCUGUAAGAUGGACCUAAACACGGUUGUACAACAAGCCUCCAAAUUUAGUGAUUCAAAUCCAAAAAUGAAAUACUUUAUUUAUAGGAACAAUAUAAUAACAAAAUAUACAUCAAACUUGGAAUAUAAAUUGACAUCAAAUCCUAUAUGUCUGUUACAUAAUAAUGUUUAUAGAGGAUAUGGUUUUUACCUCCACAAUAAAAAAAUUAUUACUGUUAAUCAUCUUUUUAAAGAUGUUAAAUUCCCCACUGUAAUUUGGUGUCUUUUUCCCUCAGAUGAUUUUAUAUUGAUUUUGAAGUGUAAAAUGAAGCAUUCUUGGUCGUACCAGUCAUACCCUGACAUGGACACGGCUGUACUCCAUUUUGAUGCUGAUCCUUCACCUCUAGGUGAUGGCUUAUAUGAUAGAAUGUGCCUGGGUCCUCCAGAACCAGGUAUAGAUUUAAAUUUUUACACAUUUGAUUUACAAAAUCUAAAUAUUCGUAUUCCACAUCCUGGGGAAAAAGUUCCUAUGAUUGACAAACCAAGAAAAAAAUCAUUAGAAAAUGACUUCCUGAUGAGUGUAUCUGGCGAAAUGGGAGAUAGUGGAAGCCCUAUUUUUGAUCAAAUGGGAAAAUGUAUAGGAUUAUAUUGUGGAUAUUUCCAUGGCAAUGGUCGUGGGGUUUAUCUAACAGAUUCUAUAUUCCAAUCACCCUUUUUUCAUUACAUCAGAUCAAAAAUCAGGAAAAUUCUUACAAAAAUAAAAGAAUAAAAAAAACAAUAAAACAAAAUUAAACAUGACAUAACAUACCAAAAAAAAAUAUAUUUUUUUUUACAUUUGAUUUACAAAAUCUAAACAUUCGUAUUCCACAUCCUGGGAUAAAAGUUCCUAUGAUUGACAAACCAACAAA